This 478-nucleotide unclassified non-coding RNA is filed under the name Hevea brasiliensis (rubber tree). Lineage: Eukaryota; Viridiplantae; Streptophyta; Magnoliopsida; Malpighiales; Euphorbiaceae. The record is from RNAcentral.
CUGUACAUAAAUAUGUAUAGUGCAAUUUUUAUUUUUGUGGUAGUACAUUAAAUACAUCUGAAUUUAUGCUUACAUAAUAUUGCAUAACUGAAUUUUGAGUUUGGGAAGGAGAUCCUAUCAGAGGUAUUGCAUGAAUCAUGCAGGAUUUUUAUAUUAAGAAGUUCUCUAACUGUGAAUUUGACAUUCACCAUCCUCUUGUGAUAAUGGCUAAGUUAUAUAAUAAAGGGUAUAACCCUUCCCAUCUUGCAUAUGCAUUCAAUCCCUGCUCUCUUUGGAAGAUGCAAACAGAAUUUUGGCUUUCCAAAUACCUGGCUGGUGGUAAUGGAAGAAAGCUCUUAGAAUGUAAUUUAGAUGCCUAUACGCUUAGAAGGAGAUUAAAUAUACCCAAUGUGAUAUGAAAAUUAUGCAUUAUCCUUCCAAGCAGGUUCCUAUCUAUCAUCUUGGAUUGCAAAUGCUCGGCCUUGUAAUUAUGGAUAAG